CACCAGUUUCUAUCCUUAUCAGUGCAGCAGUAUUUGCUCUUGCUCAUCUCACACCUGGAGAAUUUCCUCAGCUGUUUGCGUUGGGAAAACAUCUGAAGAUCCAUGCUUGUCGCUCUUUGGGGGAUUUAUUUGUUGUGAAGAUUUAGAACUUAAUCGUCUCAAAAGAGACAUUUUGACCUUUUGAUUAAGUAGUAGCUCUUUGUUUUAAUCAUGGAGGAUUUGUGAUAUGUGCUUAAUUUGGUAAGUUUUUGUGUAAAACUUGUGAAGAAUUAUCUCAAUCCUAUUGCUAUAAUAUUGUUAUUCGUUGUAAUGAAUUGUUCAUUAUAUUAAGGCUAAAGUUUGGUUA
Molecule: long non-coding RNA, 346 nt
Organism: Asparagus officinalis (garden asparagus)
Lineage: Eukaryota; Viridiplantae; Streptophyta; Magnoliopsida; Asparagales; Asparagaceae
Exons: 2
Source: RefSeq, a predicted model, not a curated record